UACACAGGGAAAUCUGCACUUGUUCUGGUC
This 30-nucleotide non-coding RNA is filed under the name Rattus norvegicus (Norway rat). Lineage: Eukaryota; Metazoa; Chordata; Mammalia; Rodentia; Muridae. The record is from RNAcentral.